GAAAGUGUUGUAAGACUUGUGUUUCUGCAGAGAAAUUCUGUAAAUCUAUGUGUGAUAUGCCUCUUCUGAGAUACAUCAUGUGCGGGUGAGUGUUUAUUUUUGUGGGGGUGGUGGCUGAGAAGAAUAUGACCAAUCACAAAAGUCAUCUUUGUUGUUUGAUAAAACAAUUGAAUGCAUCUCAUCUGAUGAUGCUGUUCACUCAGAGCAGAGCAGAGGUGAAUGCUCUAUAAUCUCAGCAUCAGACAGCAGCUGAGUCUGCAGAGAUGUAGGUUUUGAAGACUGUGGUUGUAUCUGAUUCUUUCAGAGCAGAGAUGUUAGAGGAAGAGAAGAAUGUGAAGAAGAGAAUUUUGAAAAUGAUAAGCUUCAGAGACUCUGUGAUGAAGAAAUUGAUUGAGAAGAGAUUGAUGAGAA
This 411-nucleotide small RNA is filed under the name Histoplasma ohiense. RNAcentral's name for it is "hypothetical lncRNA". Lineage: Eukaryota; Fungi; Ascomycota; Eurotiomycetes; Onygenales; Ajellomycetaceae. The record is from RNAcentral.